This 463-nucleotide ribosomal RNA is filed under the name Androctonus mauritanicus. RNAcentral describes it as "partial 12S ribosomal RNA". Lineage: Eukaryota; Metazoa; Arthropoda; Arachnida; Scorpiones; Buthidae. The record is from RNAcentral.
ACCGUAAAAGUGAAAAAAUUUUAGUUUUGAUUAUGAGGUUUUAGGUGAAAAGAAAAAUUUUCUUUUAAGGUAAAAUUAGGAGAGAGUAUUUUUUUCAAAAGAUAAAACUUUAGAAAUUUAAAAGUGAAACUAGGAUUAGAUACCCUAUUAUUAUUAUAGAAAAAGAAAUUAGGUAGUAUUAGAAGGCUUGAAACUUAAAGAAUUUGGCGGUGUUUUAAUCUUAUCAGAGGAACUUGUGUUGUAAGUCGAAAUUACUCGUUUUAUCUCACUUAAAUUAUGUUUGUAUAUCGUCGUAAAAAUAAAACUUUAAAGUGGAUAUUUAAAAUCAUUUAAUGAAGUAUUACAGAUCAAGGUUCAGCUAUAUUUAAGAAAACAUGAGUUACAAUGUCCGAAGACAAAAUGGAUAAGUUCUUGAAAAAAACAUUUGAAGGUGAAUUUGAAAGUAUAUUAGAAAUAAUAAGUU